Molecule: ribosomal RNA, 459 nt
Filed under: uncultured bacterium
Lineage: Bacteria
Description: partial 16S ribosomal RNA
Rfam family: Bacterial small subunit ribosomal RNA
Source: RNAcentral
CCUACGGGUGGCAGCAGUGAGGAAUAUUGGUCAAUGGGCGAGAGCCUGAACCAGCCAAGUCGCGUGAGGGAAGACGGUCCUAUGGAUUGUAAACCCCUUUUGCCGGGGAGCAAAAAGCGGUACGCGUACCGCAUCGAGAGUACCCGGAGAAAAAGCAUCGGCUAACGCGGUGCCAGCAACCGCGGUAAUACGGAGGAUGCAAGCGUUAUCGGGAUUUGUUGGGUGUAAAGGGUGGGCAGGCGGCGAGUAAAGUGAGCGGUAAAAUUUCGGGGCUCAACCCCGAAAAGCCGUUGAAACUGGGUUGCUAGAGUGGGCGAGAAGUAUGCGGAAUGCGUGGUGUAGCGGUGAAAUGCAUAGAUAUCACGCAGAACUCCGGUUGCGAAGGCAGCAUACUGGCGCCCAACUGACGCUCAGGCACGAAAGCGUGGGUAUCGAACAGGAUUAGAUACCCUAGUAGUC